Caenorhabditis elegans is the source of this 21-nucleotide non-coding RNA. Lineage: Eukaryota; Metazoa; Nematoda; Chromadorea; Rhabditida; Rhabditidae. The record is from Ensembl.
UCCAUGGUUAAUAACGCAAAU